GGCGCUUCUCUCGAACAAGAUGAGGAAGAUGACUCAGGAGUCCGGCACGCAAAGUCAGGAUGUAGGACUGGUGGUGACUGCGAAGAAGGAGGCGAGAAUAUCGGCGAUCGGAUAUCGGCAGAAGAAAUCGCUAUCUGAGGUAGAAUGCUUUUACUGUCACAGGAAGGGGCAUAUCAAGCGUAAUUGUCGAAAACUUCAGGAUGAUCUGAAGGAGUUAAAACGACAGAAGGAGCAAACUGUCGUGAACCAGGACGAGACGGUAUCAGCGACGGCGCAGACAACAGAGUCGGAGAUGAUCGAUUCUGAUGUGCUGUAUGUGGCGACCGGAGGUGCGAAAAUUUCGAACGAUGCGUGGGUGCUCGAUUCGGCGUGUUCUUUUCACGUAUGCCCGGAGAAGGAGUCUUUUGCCACCUAUAAGGCGAUCAAAGGUGAAAAGGCGCUGAUGGGGAACGGGACAGCGUGCAAAGUAUUGGGAGUCGGCAUGGUGAAAAUCCGAAUGCACGAUGGGGUCGUGAGGACGCUGACAGGUGUGCGGCACGUUCCUGGAUUAAAGCGAAAUUUGAUCUCGUUAGGCGCAUUGGACUCGAAGGGUUGCGAUAUUUCAGCUUCAGGUGGAGCUAUGAGGGUCCGAAAACGAGAUCGGGUCGUAUGCGAGGCGAACAAGCGUGGGAACUUAUACGUUCUGAAUGGGAGAAUAGCCAAAACGGGAGCGAAGACGGUUUGGGUUCCAAAAGUUCGCAGAUGUGUAGUUGCUCGAGACAGAGCGACGGAUGCGGCGACAUUGAGCUGAGGAGACAAGCUCAAGGUGGAGCUUGCAUGGUGAGCUCGACGUAGCGGUUGAAAAUUACAAAACAAACCAAGGUGGAGAAUGUUAGGAUUUGGUUAGAUUUGUAGUUAAAUCCUAUUUGGAUAAAAAUUAAUAUUUAAAUCUGUUUGAGAUAAAUUAAGAUUUAAAUAUUAAUUAGAGGAUAAACCUAACUAGAUUAGGAUUAAUAUUUAAAUCUAUUAGAGAUCGAUUAAGAAAGAUUUAGAUAUUAAUUAAAGUAUGAAUCCUAAAUAUAUUAGGAUUGGGGUACGUUUUAAGUUGAGCAUUAUAAAUAGGCAUUGUGGCUCUCUUUUUUGAGAGGAGUACGGCUGGAACCAUUAGGGUGUCGUACCAGAGAGAGAAAAAAGAGAGAGAGAGAGAGAGUUAUUUUAGUGCACCUCGUGCACGGGUGCACGCGGAGAGGUCUUCUUUGUGGGUUCAUAGAAGACGAGAGAAAGGUAGGAGAGAUUCAAAAAGAGGGCUAGGGUUGUAGCUACUCUGUUGCAGAAGAGGAGUCAGGUGUAAUCUUCUCUUAUUUAAUGAAUCUUAUUUUACCCGUAUAUUUUCUGUUUUGGUUUUUUUUUCUCUCUUUUAUGAUUGUAUCAGCUUUUACUGAGGAGACGGGUUUAUGGUAAAAAUCCGAUUCGACGCUUCCGUUGCGGAAUCCCAACAAUCGAUACCGGAUCCACAGCAGUCGGUAUCGGAGUGGGUUGCGGAUUCACGAGAUCUGGUACCGGGGCGAGUACCGGAUUCCCAACAGUAUGAAGCUACUAUUUUCUCCUUUAGAGAUAUGGUAGUAGCAAACAAAUUAAUGCGAUUCCUCAAUCUUGCACUCCAUCGUACCCCCGACUCAUCGGGAGAGCAUCUCGUGCACGUACUUUUUUCUCGCCCUCCUCGAGCCACUGCUAACAUCUUUAAUUUGACAAAAAUUCUGUUUUGAUUUUUUUUUCUCUCUUUUAUGAUUGUAUCAGCUUUUGCUGAGGAGACGGGUUUAUGGUAAAAACCCGAUUCGACGCUUCCGUUGUGGAAUCCCAACAAUUAAUACCGGAUCCACAGCAGUCGGUAUCGGAGCGGGUUGCGUAUUCACGAGAUCCGGUACCGGGGCGAGUACCGGAUUCUCAACAAAUGGUAUCAAAGCCGAAGGUUACCGAUCUGCGGGAGAGAUCGACGGAGAUGGCCACGAAAUUCAAAAUCGAGAAGUUCGACGGCAAGAACAAUUUCGGAUUAUGGCAAAUUAAAGUACGAGCAAUCCUCGUACAACAAGAGUUAGACGAGACGUUGAACGGGAAGGAGGCAAAGCCGGCGGAGGUCACGAUGCGGCAUGGACGAAGAUGGAGCGGAAGGCGCUGAGUACGCUUCAUCUAUCAUUAGCAGAUGAGGUUCUUUAUAAUGUAGCCGGCGAGACGACACCGGCAAAAUUGUGGAAGAAAUUGGAAGAUCUGUACAUGACCAAAUCCUUGACGAACAGAUUGUAUCUGAAGCAGCGACUGUUUACGUUGCGGAUGCAAGAAGCGGCGAGCUUACAUGAUCAUUUAAAUGAGUUCAAAAAGGUGGUGGCCCAGUUGACCAGCAUCGGAGUCAAUUUGGAUGACGAAGAUAAGGCGUUGAUCCUACUAUCUUCGCUACCAACGACAUAUGAGCAUUUGGUGACCACGUUGCUUUAUGGCAAGGAGUUCAUAAGCGUGGAGGCGGUCACGGCGGCGCUUCUCUCGAACAAGAUGAGGAAGAUGACUCAGGAGUCCGGCACGCAAAGUCAGGAUGUAGGACUGGUGGUGACUGCGAAGAAGGAGGCGAGAAUAUCGGCGAUCGGAUAUCGACAGAAGAAACCGCUAUCUGAGGUAGAAUGCUUUUACUGUCACAGGAAGGGGCAUAUCAAGCGUAAUUGUCGAAAACUUCAGGAUGAUCUGAAGGAGUUAAAACGACAGAAGGAGCAAACUGUCGUGAACCAGGACGAGACGGUAUCAGCGACGGCGCAGACAACAGAGUCGGAGAUGAUCGAUUCUGAUGUGCUGUAUGNN
RNAcentral lists this long non-coding RNA (2823 nucleotides) under Ananas comosus (pineapple). Its description in RNAcentral is "long non-coding RNA (ACOM_LNC040469)". Lineage: Eukaryota; Viridiplantae; Streptophyta; Magnoliopsida; Poales; Bromeliaceae. The record is from RNAcentral.